Molecule: non-coding RNA, 417 nt
Organism: Pelobates cultripes (western spadefoot toad)
Lineage: Eukaryota; Metazoa; Chordata; Amphibia; Anura; Pelobatidae
Source: the annotation of a GenBank genome assembly
GUCUCAUUCAAAGGAUGUGUUAUCAACCAUGAAGUUCUAGAAUAAUUCUUCAAAUAAUGUUCAUGGUGUUGACAAUACUUAUUGUCCUAGAAAUUCUGCACCCAGAAAUCUUUCUAUCAUAGAUUUGUUUUUGUUUACAUAAUUAUAAUUUUGACUACUAUUCUACCUUGUAGUAACAAACUUUUCAUUCAAUCGGAGAAUGGUUUACUUUAAAAGAACUUGGAAAGAAUACUUUAAAUUCAUUAGCAUCACUCUCUACAUUAGCAUUGUGAUGACUUAUUAAUGUAAUACAUCUUAAAAGCAGGAUUGUCCUAAUGUUCUGACCAAUCCGUAUUCCUUAGUACCCUUCAACUGACUAAAUUAAAAUAUAAUAAACUUGGGGUCAUACUGCCCAGAAACUCUUAUUCCUAGUCUGUG